AGUGAACGCUGGCGGUAGGCCUAACACAUGCAAGUCGAACGGCAGCACAGUAAGAGCUUGCUCUUACGGGUGGCGAGUGGCGGACGGGUGAGGAAUACAUCGGAAUCUACUUUUUCGUGGGGGAUAACGUAGGGAAACUUACGCUAAUACCGCAUACGACCUACGGGUGAAAGCAGGGGAUCUUCGGACCUUGCGCAAUUGAAUGAGCCGAUGUCGGAUUAGCUAGUUGGCGGGGUAAAGGCCCACCAAGGCGACGAUCCGUAGCUGGUCUGAGAGGAUGAUCAGCCACACUGGAACUGAGACACGGUCCAGACUCCUACGGGAGGCAGCAGUGGGGAAUAUUGGACAAUGGGCGCAAGCCUGAUCCAGCCAUACCGCGUGGGUGAAGAAGGCCUUCGGGUUGUAGAGCCCUUUUGUUGGGAAAGAAAAGCAGCAGGUUAAUACCCCGCUGUUCUGACGGUACCCAAAGAAUAAGCACCGGCUAACUUCGUG
This 492-nucleotide ribosomal RNA is filed under the name uncultured bacterium. Its description in RNAcentral is "partial 16S ribosomal RNA". It matches the Rfam family "Bacterial small subunit ribosomal RNA", at positions 29 to 507 of the family's 1533-position model. The record is from RNAcentral.